RNAcentral lists this ribosomal RNA (1137 nucleotides) under Latilactobacillus sakei. RNAcentral describes it as "bacterial SSU rRNA". It matches the Rfam family "Bacterial small subunit ribosomal RNA", at positions 48 to 1147 of the family's 1533-position model. Lineage: Bacteria; Bacillati; Bacillota; Bacilli; Lactobacillales; Lactobacillaceae. The record is from RNAcentral.
CUAAUACAUGCAAGUCGAACGCACUCUCGUUUAGAUUGAAGGAGCUUGCUCCUGAUUGAUAAACAUUUGAGUGAGUGGCGGACGGGUGAGUAACACGUGGGUAACCUGCCCUAAAGUGGGGGAUAACAUUUGGAAACAGAUGCUAAUACCGCAUAAAACCUAACACCGCAUGGUGUAGGGUUGAAAGAUGGUUUCGGCUAUCACUUUAGGAUGGACCCGCGGUGCAUUAGUUAGUUGGUGAGGUAAAGGCUCACCAAGACCGUGAUGCAUAGCCGACCUGAGAGGGUAAUCGGCCACACUGGGACUGAGACACGGCCCAGACUCCUACGGGAGGCAGCAGUAGGGAAUCUUCCACAAUGGACGAAAGUCUGAUGGAGCAACGCCGCGUGAGUGAAGAAGGUUUUCGGAUCGUAAAACUCUGUUGUUGGAGAAGAAUGUAUCUGAUAGUAACUGAUCAGGUAGUGACGGUAUCCAACCAGAAAGCCACGGCUAACUACGUGCCAGCAGCCGCGGUAAUACGUAGGUGGCAAGCGUUGUCCGGAUUUAUUGGGCGUAAAGCGAGCGCAGGCGGUUUCUUAAGUCUGAUGUGAAAGCCUUCGGCUCAACCGAAGAAGUGCAUCGGAAACUGGGAAACUUGAGUGCAGAAGAGGACAGUGGAACUCCAUGUGUAGCGGUGAAAUGCGUAGAUAUAUGGAAGAACACCAGUGGCGAAGGCGGCUGUCUGGUCUGUAACUGACGCUGAGGCUCGAAAGCAUGGGUAGCAAACAGGAUUAGAUACCCUGGUAGUCCAUGCCGUAAACGAUGAGUGCUAGGUGUUGGAGGGUUUCCGCCCUUCAGUGCCGCAGCUAACGCAUUAAGCACUCCGCCUGGGGAGUACGACCGCAAGGUUGAAACUCAAAGGAAUUGACGGGGGCCCGCACAAGCGGUGGAGCAUGUGGUUUAAUUCGAAGCAACGCGAAGAACCUUACCAGGUCUUGACAUCCUUUGACCACUCUAGAGAUAGAGCUUUCCCUUCGGGGACAAAGUGACAGGUGGUGCAUGGUUGUCGUCAGCUCGGGUCGGGAGAUGUUGGGUUAAGUCCCGCAACGAGCGCACCCUUAUUACUAGUUGCCAGCUUUUAGUUGGGCAUUUAGUGAA